UUGCUUUCUUUGCUGGCGACCGGCGCACGGGUGAGUAACACGUAUCCAACCUACCCUUUACUCGGGGAUAGCCUUUCGAAAGAAAGAUUAAUACCCGAUGGCAUAAUGAUUCCGCAUGGUUUCAUUAUUAAAGGAUUCCGGUAAAGGAUGGGGAUGCGUUCCAUUAGGUUGUUGGUGAGGUAACGGCUCACCAAGCCUUCGAUGGAUAGGGGUUCUGAGAGGAAGGUCCCCCACAUUGGAACUGAGACACGGUCCAAACUCCUACGGGAGGCAGCAUG
RNAcentral lists this ribosomal RNA (278 nucleotides) under uncultured bacterium. RNAcentral's name for it is "partial 16S ribosomal RNA". It matches the Rfam family "Bacterial small subunit ribosomal RNA", at positions 76 to 353 of the family's 1533-position model. The record is from RNAcentral.